GUAUCUGUAGCGCAAUGGAUAGCGCGUUGGACUUCUAAUCCAAAGGUCGUGGGUUAGAAUCCCACCUGAGUUG
This 73-nucleotide transfer RNA is filed under the name Trichonephila clavata. It matches the Rfam family "tRNA". From Rfam's summary of the family: Transfer RNA (tRNA) molecules are approximately 80 nucleotides in length. Their secondary structure includes four short double-helical elements and three loops (D, anti-codon, and T loops). The record is from Rfam by way of RNAcentral. Lineage: Eukaryota; Metazoa; Arthropoda; Arachnida; Araneae; Nephilidae.